Molecule: long non-coding RNA, 151 nt
Filed under: Dasypus novemcinctus (nine-banded armadillo)
Lineage: Eukaryota; Metazoa; Chordata; Mammalia; Cingulata; Dasypodidae
Description: lncRNA (ENSDNOG00000050402.1)
Source: RNAcentral
CAUGAAUUUUCUGUUAAAGGUGUUUUGAUGAACAAGUCAAACUGGGUAGAACAGAAGGACUUGGAUGUAGUAGUGUAGAAGUGGUGCACAAAAGUUUAUUGGGAAUGCUGAAUUAGAACCAGAUGGAUUUUUCAGCUUAACUCUCCUCCCU